Molecule: transfer RNA, 72 nt
Filed under: Phrynosoma platyrhinos (Desert horned lizard)
Lineage: Eukaryota; Metazoa; Chordata; Lepidosauria; Squamata; Phrynosomatidae
Description: tRNA-OTHER
Rfam family: tRNA
About the family: Transfer RNA (tRNA) molecules are approximately 80 nucleotides in length. Their secondary structure includes four short double-helical elements and three loops (D, anti-codon, and T loops). Further hydrogen bonds mediate the characteristic L-shaped molecular structure. tRNAs have two regions of fundamental functional importance: the anti-codon, which is responsible for specific mRNA codon recognition, and the 3' end, to which the tRNAs corresponding amino acid is attached (by aminoacyl-tRNA synthetases). tRNAs cope with the degeneracy of the genetic code in two manners: having more than one tRNA (with a specific anti-codon) for a particular amino acid; and 'wobble' base-pairing, i.e. permitting non-standard base-pairing at the 3rd anti-codon position.
Source: RNAcentral
GCCAGUGUGGCAUAGUGGUUUGAGCACUAGAUUACAACUCUGGAGACCAGGGUUCAAAUCUCUACUCAGCCA